GACGAAGGAUGCAAGCGUUAUCCGGAUUCAUUGGGGUUAAAGGGAGCGUAGGUGGCCUUAUAAGUCAGUGGUGAAAUCUCUGGGCUUAACCCAGAAAUUGCCAUUGAUACUGUAGGGCUUGAGUAUAGUUGCCGUUGGCGGAAUAUGACAUGUAGUGGUGAAAUACAUAGAGAUGUCAUAGAACACCGAUUGCGAAGGCAGCUGACGAAACUAUAACUGACACUGAGGCUCGAAAGUGCGGGGAUCAAACAGG
Molecule: ribosomal RNA, 253 nt
Filed under: uncultured bacterium
Lineage: Bacteria
Description: partial 16S ribosomal RNA
Rfam family: Bacterial small subunit ribosomal RNA
Source: RNAcentral